GCUCAGGAUGAACGCUGGCGGCGUGCCUAAUACAUGCAAGUCGAGCGAAUGGAUUAAGAGCUUGCUCUUAUGAAGUUAGCGGCGGACGGGUGAGUAACACGUGGGUAACCUACCCAUAAGACUGGGAUAACUCCGGGAAACCGGGGCUAAUACCGGAUAAUAUUUUGAACUGCAUAGUUCGAAAUUGAAAGGCGGCUUCGGCUGUCACUUAUGGAUGGACCCGCGUCGCAUUAGCUAGUUGGUGAGGUAACGGCUCACCAAGGCGACGAUGCGUAGCCGACCUGAGAGGGUGAUCGGCCACACUGGGACUGAGACACGGCCCAGACUCCUACGGGAGGCAGCAGUAGGGAAUCUUCCGCAAUGGACGAAAGUCUGACGGAGCAACGCCGCGUGAGUGAUGAAGGCUUUCGGGUCGUAAAACUCUGUUGUUAGGGAAGAACAAGUGCUAGUUGAAUAAGCUGGCACCUGA
Molecule: ribosomal RNA, 469 nt
Filed under: Bacillus sp. R-45792
Lineage: Bacteria; Bacillati; Bacillota; Bacilli; Caryophanales; Bacillaceae
Description: bacterial SSU rRNA
Rfam family: Bacterial small subunit ribosomal RNA
Source: RNAcentral